RNAcentral lists this ribosomal RNA (207 nucleotides) under uncultured bacterium. Its description in RNAcentral is "partial 16S ribosomal RNA". It matches the Rfam family "Bacterial small subunit ribosomal RNA", at positions 568 to 774 of the family's 1533-position model. The record is from RNAcentral.
AAUGUAGGCGGUUUUGCAAGUCAGAGGUGAAAUCCCUCAGCUUAACUGAGGAAGUGCCUUUGAAACUGCAUAACUAGAGGACAGGAGAGGAAAGUGGAAUUCCCGGUGUAGCGGUGGAAUGCGUAGAUAUCGGGAGGAACACCAGAGGCGAAGGCGGCUUUCUGGACUGAUCCUGACGCUGAGAUUCGAAAGCUAGGGGAGCAAACA